GGUCGCGUGGCCCAAUGGGUAUGCAUUUCUCCGUCCUCCAACAAACAUUUCAAUACCUAACAAUCAAUCUAGCAAGGCGUCUGACUACGAAUCAGGAGAUCGUGGGUUCGAGCCCCACCGUGACCU
Molecule: non-coding RNA, 126 nt
Organism: Neonectria magnoliae
Lineage: Eukaryota; Fungi; Ascomycota; Sordariomycetes; Hypocreales; Nectriaceae
Source: the annotation of a GenBank genome assembly